Molecule: ribosomal RNA, 429 nt
Filed under: uncultured bacterium
Lineage: Bacteria
Description: bacterial SSU rRNA
Rfam family: Bacterial small subunit ribosomal RNA
Source: RNAcentral
UGGGGAAUAUUGGACAAUGGGCGCAAGCCUGAUCCAGCCAUGCCGCGUGUGUGAAGAAGGCCUUAGGGUUGUAAAGCACUUUCAGGAGUGAGGAAGGGUGUACGGUUAAUACCCGUAUAUUUUGACGUUAACUCCAGAAGAAGCACCGGCUAACUCUGUGCCAGCAGCCGCGGUAAUACAGAGGGUGCGAGCGUUAAUCGGAAUUACUGGGCGUAAAGCGCGCGUAGGCGGUUUGUUAAGUCGGAUGUGAAAUCCCAGGGCUCAACCUUGGAAUGGCACCCGAUACUGGCAGGCUAGAGUACGGUAGAGGGGUGUGGAAUUUCCUGUGUAGCGGUGAAAUGCGUAGAUAUAGGAAGGAACAUCAGUGGCGAAGGCGACACCCUGGACCGAUACUGACGCUGAGGUGCGAAAGCGUGGGGAGCAAACAGG